RNAcentral lists this ribosomal RNA (473 nucleotides) under uncultured bacterium. RNAcentral's name for it is "partial 16S ribosomal RNA". It matches the Rfam family "Bacterial small subunit ribosomal RNA", at positions 28 to 523 of the family's 1533-position model. The record is from RNAcentral.
GACGAACGCUGGCGGCGUGCUUAACACAUGCAAGUCGAGCGGUAAGGCCCUUCGGGGUACACGAGUGGCGAACGGGUGAGUAACACGUGGGUGAUCUGCCCUGCACUUCGGGAUAAGCCUGGGAAACUGGGCCUAAUACCGGAUAGGACCACUGCCUGCAUGGGUGGUGGUGGAAAGCUUUGGCGGUGUGGGAUGGGCCCGCGUCUGAUUAGCUAGUUGGUGGGGUAAAGGCCUACCAAGGCGACGAGCAGUAGCUGGGCUGAGAGGAUGAUCAGCCACACUGGAACUGAGACACGGUCCGGACUCCUACGGGAGGCAGCAGUAAGGAAUAUUGGACAAUGGGGGAAACCCUGAUCCAGCCAUGCCGCGUGAGUGACGAAGGCCUUAGGGUUGUAAAGCUCUUUUGGUGGGGAAGAUAAUGACUGUACCCACAGAAUAAGCCCCGGCUAAAUUCGUGCCAGCCGCCGCAGUAA